CAGUGGUUACACAUCAUUGGUACUAGUCGGGCGUUGACUGACAUUCCGCUGACAGGUAAAAAAGAACGAAAAAAUAUGGGCAUUUAUGUAUAACGUUACAUGACAUUCGUGCACCUGUGUGAAAACCCUCGGUUCCCUCGGUGUCACUUGGAUCGGAUAAUAUUUCUUAGUCACAGUUUUCCGGCGUUGAUAUGUAUUAAAUUUCAAAAUGUCAGUGAAUCUGACGAAAAAUAAAGAAUCGCUUAGCGCCGCAUGGCGAAGCGUAGUCGACGACAAAUCCACCAUAGAUUGGGCUCUGUUUAGUUACGAGGGUCAAAGCAACGAUUUGAAGUUAGUCAGCACAGGCGAUGGAGGACUACAGGAAAUGAUCGAAGAAUUAAACAGUGGCAAAAUAAUGUACGCAUUCUGCCGCGUCAUUGAUGAAAAAACAAGUCUGCCAAAAUGUGUUUUGAUAAAUUGGCAGGGAGAAGGGGCGCCAAUUGUGAGGAAAGGAACCUGCGCUAAUCACAUCAGGGAUAUAGAAAAACUGUUAAAAGGAGCUCAUGUUACUAUAAACGCACGUACAGAAGAAGAAGUCGAAGUUGAUCUGAUAAUGGACAAAUUAGCCCGUGCCACUGGCUCCAGCUAUAAGUUUAAUGAACCUCGAGGUGAAAAUGGUGGCCAAUUAGGCCCAGUUGGCACCACGUACCGCAGAGUGAUACCUGAACAGGAAAUAAAUGCCAGCGAGCGUGACCAGUUCUGGCAGCGAGAGGAACUCGAAGAAAAACAGAGACUUGAAGAAGAGCGUUCACGACGAGACCAGGAGCGUGUAAAACUUGAACUAGAACGCCGUUCUAGGGAAGAAAAAGAAAGUGAACUUAGAGAUGCACAGGUUACAGCUAAAGAAAGUAUAGUGACAAAACACAGACAAGCAGAGUUGCGGGCUCAAGAGAUAACAAAUUUCCGGAAUCAACAGAACACUGAAACUCAACGAAACACUGACUCAGAUGAAGAAAGAAAAUCGCGCAGCGAAGAAUUGCGUAGACAACGUAGUAAAGAAACGCAGCAACUAAUCGCGCAGCGAACCAUAAAUGCUAGGGCUGUUUUUGAACAAAAUACAGCAGCUGGCCAAAUGAAGAGCGUGUCAUUUGUCCCAAAGACGAGUGAACUUGAAACUCGUGUCGAAUCGAACAAUAUUGUUAAUCGCAUCCUUGAAACUGUGGCUAAAGUGAAUAUCGACCCACAAAUACCAAUUCAAAAUACUGGAAAAGUAAUUGAGACAGAACCAGAAAUCUUGCAGUCUCACGUUGAUGCUCCACUAGCAGCGCAGAUUACUGCAUCUCCACAAAGUCAACCUAAGGAUAGUAAAUCGCAUAAUCUUCAGCCUGAUAUAGAAGAAACUGCAGAGCUUAACGUUCAGGAGACUGAAACGGAGCUCUAUAACCAGCUCGAAGAAGGCUCGUAUGUUUACUUUGACCCGAACAACGAAGGAAUGAAAGCAAGGGCUCUCUACGACUACCAAGCUGCCGAUAAUACCGAGAUUACAUUCGACCCUGGAGAUGUAAUUACGCAUAUUGACGCAAUAGAUGAAGGAUGGUGGCAAGGCUUAGGACCCGAUGGAACCUAUGGUUUAUUCCCAGCAAAUUACGUAGAAGUUAUUGAGUAACAUUUCCAAUAAAAUAAUGUGAAACUGCAUCAAAUUCUGCAUUGAAAAGUUACCUUACCUAAAUUUGAUGAGUUACCAGACAUGAGUCCAGUAAAGUCGUACAGAGGGGUCUUCUACAAGGUGCCAGUAACUCAUCAGAACUGUGGAAAAACUCAAAUAUAUUUACGGUUGACGGCAGCCUAUCGGCGGUGACAAUGUUGCGCUGUGUAUGGUGUUUCUGUUUAAAAAUUUUACAACAGACACCGGGGAGAGUCAAAAAAUGCUUUGUUCAUUUUCACUAUCUCUUACCCCUGCAUUGUUGUAUAAUUGUUGAAAGUAAAAAUGAGUUAAAAUGA
Molecule: unclassified non-coding RNA, 1980 nt
Filed under: Neodiprion lecontei (redheaded pine sawfly)
Lineage: Eukaryota; Metazoa; Arthropoda; Insecta; Hymenoptera; Diprionidae
Description: drebrin-like protein, transcript variant X4
Source: RNAcentral